This 372-nucleotide ribosomal RNA is filed under the name Triticum aestivum (bread wheat). RNAcentral's name for it is "partial small subunit ribosomal RNA". The record is from RNAcentral. Lineage: Eukaryota; Viridiplantae; Streptophyta; Magnoliopsida; Poales; Poaceae.
GUGAUCUAUCAUAGCUUUGACAGUGCGGAGGAUGACCCAUAUGGCUACUAUGCUCAGGAGUUUUUGAAUGGAUUGACUCCUAAUGGUCUUCCUCCGCAUGCUCUCAAGCUAAAGCUGAACUGCCCUGUCAUACUUCUACGGAACAUUGAUCCAGCUAAUGGACUGUGUAAUGGCACUAGGCUUGUUGUUAGAGGUUUUGAGAGGAACACCAUUGAUGCAGAAAUCGUAGUUGGACAACACGCUGGCAGGAGGGUCUUCCUUCCUCGAAUCCCUCUCUGCCCAUCUGAAAAUGACAUGUUUCCGUUCAAGUUUAAGAGGAAGCAAUUUCCAAUAAGGCUUAGCUUUGCUAUGACCAUUAACAAGGCUCAAGGG